UCCGUAGGCGGUGCGGCAAGUCGAUAGUGAAAUCCCUGGGCUUAACUCAGGGGCUGCUAACGAAACUGCCGUGCUAGAGUGUGAGAGAGGCGAGUGGAAUUACGGGUGUAGCGGUGAAAUGCGUAGAUAUCCGUAGGAACAUCCGAGGCGAAAGCGGCUCGCUGGAUCACAACUGACGCUGAGGGACGAAAGCUAGGGGAGCAAACAGGAUUAGAUACCCUGGUAGUCCUAGCCCUAAACCAUCAGGACUUGGGGUUUGCCCUGUACGGGGCAAGUCCCGUAGCUAACGCGUUAAGUCCUGCGCCUGGGGAGUACGGUCGCAAGGCUGAA
Molecule: ribosomal RNA, 330 nt
Filed under: uncultured bacterium
Lineage: Bacteria
Description: bacterial SSU rRNA
Rfam family: Bacterial small subunit ribosomal RNA
Source: RNAcentral